CGCGGAAACUAAAUGAGCUUGUUUCGAUUAGUGACGAAUGCAUAUUUGCGAAGUGGGCAGUUGACAGGAAAGUAGUUCAAAUGAAUUUUUCGGACUAAUUUGAACGAUGUCAACCCAUGAAAAGCGGGUAAGCUCAAGAAUGAAGUCUACUGUGCACCUUUCAAAUACGCACAAGUUACAAAUUCUUAAACGACGUUUCAUCGUUAAGAAUAAGAUACCGAACUCCUUGAGCAUCAAAACCUUAUACGUACAAUUUAAAUACAUUGAUAAAUCUAUCACAAUGGCACAUCUUAAGGUAAACGUAAUCUAGGGGUUCCUGAAUUAUAAGUUAUCUGUACAAGUAGUCGAAAAAAUUUUUUUUUUUCAACACUGAAACUUUUAAAAUUACAUUAGUAAAAAUAUUGCUUCCAGGAGCUUGAGAUUUCAAAAGGUAGGUACGCUGAAGACUCAAGAGUGUACCUAACAGGAGGGAAAAGUGGCAAAACGCCUAUCACAAAAGCCCACGAGUAAACUAUCGAGAAAUUUAAUUUUGUAUCGACAACCCUGUCAUCGAA
Bemisia tabaci is the source of this 554-nucleotide non-coding RNA. The record is from RefSeq and is a predicted model, not a curated record. NCBI's taxonomy places the organism in Eukaryota, Metazoa, Arthropoda, Insecta, Hemiptera, Aleyrodidae.